AUAAUACAAGAUUUAACCUGCCCGCUGAGUUAAUUGAAUGGCCGCGGUAUUUUGACCGUGCAAAGGUAGCAUAAUAAUUAGUUUUUUAAUUGAAAGCUGGAAUGAAUGGUUGGACGAGAAAGUUUCUGUCUCUUUUUAAUUUUUAUAGAAUUUAAUUUUUGAGUUAAAAGGCUUAAAUUUAUAUGAAAGACGAGAAGACCCCAUAGAGUUUAAUAUAUUUAUUUAUUUUUUUCUUAAGGUAUAUUUUUAGAAUAAAGUAAUAAGAUAUAUUUUGUUGGGGUGAUGGAAAGAUUAAAUUAACUCUUUUUAAUUUAAACAUUAAUUUAUGAAUUUUUGAUCCGUUUUUUGCGAUUAUAAGAUUAAAUUACCUUGGGGAUAACAGCGUAAUCUUUUUAGAGAGUUCUUAUUGAAAUGAAGGGUUGCGACCUCGAUGUUGGAUUAAAAUUAAUUUUUGGUGCAGUAGCUAAAAUAUUGAGUCUGUUCGACUUUUGAAAUUUUACAUGAUCUGAGUUUAAACCGGUGUGAGCCAGGUUGGUUUCUAUCUUUAUUUAUUUAUAAUAUUUUAGUACGAAAGGACCAA
Molecule: ribosomal RNA, 580 nt
Filed under: Austrolimnius sp. 4 MF-2023a
Lineage: Eukaryota; Metazoa; Arthropoda; Insecta; Coleoptera; Elmidae
Description: partial large subunit ribosomal RNA
Rfam family: Bacterial large subunit ribosomal RNA
Source: RNAcentral